ACGGAAGGCAGCAGUGGGGGAUAUUGCACAAUGGGGGGAACCCUGAUCCAGCGACGCCGCGUGAGUGAAGAAGUAUUUCGGUAUGUAAAGCUCUUUAAGCAGGGAAGAUAAUGACGGUACCUGCAGAAUAAGCCCCGGCUAACUACGUGCCAGCAGCCGCGGUAAUACGUAGGGGGCAAGCGUUAUCCGGAUUUACUGGGUGUAAAGGGAGCGUAGACGGCAUGGCAAGUCUGAAGUGAAAGCCCGGGGCUCAACUCCGGGACUGCUUUGGAAACUGUUAAGCUAGAGUGCAGGAGAGGUAAGUGGAAUUCCUAGUGUAGCGGUGAAAUGCGUAGAUAUUAGGAGGAACACCAGUGGCGAAGGCGGCUUACUGGACUGUAACUGACGUUGAGGCUCGAAAGCGUGGGGAGCAAACAGGAUUAGAUACCCUGGUA
RNAcentral lists this ribosomal RNA (434 nucleotides) under uncultured Clostridium sp. Its description in RNAcentral is "partial 16S ribosomal RNA". It matches the Rfam family "Bacterial small subunit ribosomal RNA", at positions 341 to 792 of the family's 1533-position model. Lineage: Bacteria; Bacillati; Bacillota; Clostridia; Eubacteriales; Clostridiaceae. The record is from RNAcentral.